UUCUGAGACAGCCAGCCACUCUGAUUCUGUGGGAAAUUUGGUCUGUGAGAUGAUCAAAAAUCCUGAUCCUGUGGAGUAAGACAGCUGAUCUUAGAUGUAGCUUCUUCCACUAGGAAAAAGGAGGUUCUGCUCCCAAGGGAAGUAGGAUAAACUCCCAGGGCUACUGGGAGAUGUUUCUGCUCAUUGAAUAUUGUACAAUUAAUAUCGUACAUUUUAUUCAUAUGCCAUGAUGGUCCUUUGGAGCAGGCGUUAAUUAGGAGAUCCUGGAUUUUAUAGCUCUCAAUUCCUAAUUUAGAGCUGGGAUAUAUAGGCAUCCUUUGAUCUUAAAAACUUCCAAUUAAAAAAAUAAUCCCAGUUGGGGAAACACACCGUCACAUGGGCACCACUCUCUGCUCCAAUUCAGAAACAAGUUUUGCUUGUGAAUCACAGGGCUGUUGGGUUUUGCAGGGAUUUAUUUUCCUCCAUUUCCCUUCCAACAUUCAACUCAACCCCUUUCCACCCCUAACACCAUAUAACCAUCCUUCAUCUCUCACCCUCCUUUUGUUCCUUCUGAUGCCAAGAAGAAAAAAAAACUAGCACAAUUCCUUGUUUUGAAAAGUUGAUUUAUUCCAAGCAGCAGAGUGGAGUUCACAUAUCUAUACCUCUUUGAGACAGGAAAAGAGACAGGAGAAAAUGAGACGCAAACAAGGCUCCCGGAAACUUCCCUCUGCUCCGCGUUCUUCCCAGGAGCCCGGGAGAAAGACCGAAUGAAAAGCAUCCUUCAAACAAGCCCAGGAAGGAAAGCCAAGUCCUCCCUGUGGGGUCCCUGGGAGCAGCCUCUGGAAGGCUCUUGAAGGGAGAGAAGAGAAUGAAGUCAAGGCAUUAAUUUUCCUGGACCGUUUCUUGUGAAGGUGGAAGAAGAAUUCUGAAAGGACAUCGAUUUCCCGUGAAGGCAGAGGCGACUGUGAACUGUCACCACACGAAAGUGACGAUUUCUGGCUAAAAGCAGCCAACCGAAUGGGUACAAAACCACCCUGACACCAUCAAAGGCCGACCCAGGCAGUGGUGACCAAGGCUUCAAACACGCUGAGGAUGCUUUGUGAUGCUCAACAGAUUCUCACUGAUUGACUGGGAGGUGGAUUUGGAAUGAAGUGAUCGGGGGACUUUCUGUUUGUAUGACCUCUUUGAGCCCUGGUGUUCUUCUCCAUAAAAGGCGAUGGCAUUACCUGCCUUAAGAGCUUCUGUGACAACAAAAAGCCCACGUACGAAUGAGCUGGGCAAAAAUUUACACACCGUGAUUCAUGCGCAUCAUUGGCUGUUUUUGGUGGUGGCUGUAGACGUGUUAGCUGUUGUUAUUCGCUGCUGUGACUGAGGACGGUUUGAAAUAAAAUAGCUCAUCGUU
This is a long non-coding RNA of Felis catus (domestic cat), 1381 nucleotides long. RefSeq lists it as uncharacterized. The transcript has 4 exons. Lineage: Eukaryota; Metazoa; Chordata; Mammalia; Carnivora; Felidae. The record is from RefSeq and is a predicted model, not a curated record.